UAGGGAAUCUUCCACAAUGGACGCAAGUCUGAUGGAGCAACGCCGCGUGAGUGAAGAAGGUUUUCGGAUCGUAAAACUCUGUUGUUAGAGAAGAACGUGUGUGAGAGUAACUGUUCAUGCAGUGACGGUAUCUAACCAGAAAGCCACGGCUAACUACGUGCCAGCAGCCGCGGUAAUACGUAGGUGGCAAGCGUUGUCCGGAAUUAUUGGGCGUAAAGGGCGUGCAGGCGGCCAGGCAAGUCUGUCUUAAAAGUGCGGGGCUUAACCCCGUGAUGGGAUGGAAACUGUCAGGCUAGAGUGUCGGAGAGGAAAGCGGAAUUCCUAGUGUAGCGGUGAAAUGCGUAGAUAUUAGGAGGAACACCAGUGGCGAAAGCGGCUUUCUGGACGACAACUGACGCUGAGGCGCGAAAGCCAGGGGAGCAAACGGGAUUAGAUACCCCGGUAGUCCUGGCCGUAAACGAUGGGUACUAGGUGUAGGAGGUAUCGACCCCUUCUGUGCCGGAGUUAACGCAAUAAGUAUCCCGCCUGGGGAGUACGGCCGCAAGGCUG
RNAcentral lists this ribosomal RNA (549 nucleotides) under uncultured bacterium. Its description in RNAcentral is "bacterial SSU rRNA". It matches the Rfam family "Bacterial small subunit ribosomal RNA", at positions 355 to 896 of the family's 1533-position model. The record is from RNAcentral.